RNAcentral lists this ribosomal RNA (465 nucleotides) under uncultured bacterium. RNAcentral describes it as "partial 16S ribosomal RNA". It matches the Rfam family "Bacterial small subunit ribosomal RNA", at positions 28 to 507 of the family's 1533-position model. The record is from RNAcentral.
GACGAACGCUGGCGGCGUGCUUAACACAUGCAAGUCGAACGGAAAGGCCCUGCUUGCAGGGUACUCGAGUGGCGAACGGGUGAGUAACACGUGGGUGAUCUGCCCUUCACUUCGGGAUAAGCCUGGGAAACUGGGUCUAAUACCGGAUAGGAGCCAUUUUUAGUGUGAUGGUUGGAAAGUUUUUUCGGUGUAGGAUGAGCUCGCGGCCUAUCAGCUUGUUGGUGGGGUAAUGGCCUACCAAGGCGGCGACGGGUAGCCGGCCUGAGAGGGUGGACGGCCACAUUGGGACUGAGAUACGGCCCAGACUCCUACGGGGGGCAGCAGUGGGGAAUAUUGCACAAUGGGCGCAAGCCUGAUGCAGCGACGCCGCGUGGGGGAUGACGGCCUUCGGGUUGUAAACUCCUUUCGCUAGGGACGAAGCUUUUUGUGACGGUACCUAGAUAAGAAGCACCGGCUAACUACGUG